AGAUCCUCAGUCUGGUCCGAUGGCUGAGAAGUCCCAGAAAGUCGGGGUCUGAGGACCUGCUGCAGCCUUCAUCUGACUUCACAGCUGUUGGGUUGUAAAACAUCACCUCCUCCGCCUGAUCCGCCGUGUAGAACUUCUUGUUUCACCAGAGGCCCAUUAGCUGUCUCAUGUUCAGUGUUCCUAUGGCUACCCUAGUGGCCAUGGAGCACACAAGGCCCCCACCACAGGAAUACCCAGAAUAACUCAGAACCAGGUGAGCAGAUUUUCGCCAGAUUUGGAAGGAUUAUUCUUUUGAUGGUGGACCCAAAAAGGAAAUGAUUUCUGGCAAAUAAAGGAAUCUGCACGCAGUGUCAACAUGGACAACCAGAUCAUUUAUGAGAGCAGCAGUUAUCCAUCAAAGCUCCC
Long non-coding RNA from Thalassophryne amazonica, 405 nucleotides. RefSeq lists it as uncharacterized. The transcript is spliced from 3 exons. The record is from RefSeq and is a predicted model, not a curated record. NCBI's taxonomy places the organism in Eukaryota, Metazoa, Chordata, Actinopteri, Batrachoidiformes, Batrachoididae.